GUCUGGCAGACUUGGGCGGGUUGUCCCGGCGGUGCAGGACAGGAAACCGGUGUGAAUCCGGUGCGGUCCCGCCACUGUGACCGGUCGCCGCGUGCGUGCGCGUGGGGGCCGGGAGUCAGACACUGACGCACCGCCUCUUCACUUC
Streptomyces sp. C is the source of this 145-nucleotide non-coding RNA. Lineage: Bacteria; Bacillati; Actinomycetota; Actinomycetes; Kitasatosporales; Streptomycetaceae. The record is from Rfam.